UGCGGUUUGUCGUGACCUCUUUACUGC
Molecule: non-coding RNA, 27 nt
Filed under: Homo sapiens (human)
Lineage: Eukaryota; Metazoa; Chordata; Mammalia; Primates; Hominidae
Source: RNAcentral